AUAAUCAUUUGUUUUAUAAUUAAAAACUAGUAUGAAAGGACUGACGAAAAGACAACUGUCUCUACUGUGGUAUUGAAAUUUAAAUAGAAGUCAAAAUGCUUCUUUAAUUUAGAGGGACGACAAGACCCUAUAAAACUUUACCUUUAUCUAUAAAACUUUAUUAAAUAAAAGGUUUGACUGGGGCGGUCAAAAUAAAAUAAUCUCUAUUUUUAAACUGACACACUAAGUGAAAUUAACAAACAAAAAUAUAAAACAAAUAGUUACUUUAGGGAUAACAGCGUAAUAUUUCUUUAGAGUCCUUAUCGUCAGAAAUGAUUUCGACCUCGAUGUUGAAUUGAGACUCAAAACAAAGCAAGCCUUGUUUAAGUAAGUCUGUUCGACUUAUA
RNAcentral lists this ribosomal RNA (386 nucleotides) under Ligidium ryukyuense. RNAcentral's name for it is "partial 16S ribosomal RNA". It matches the Rfam family "Bacterial large subunit ribosomal RNA", at positions 1961 to 2590 of the family's 2925-position model. Lineage: Eukaryota; Metazoa; Arthropoda; Malacostraca; Isopoda; Ligiidae. The record is from RNAcentral.